UCUCCGUUGGUGAACCAGCGGAGGGAUCAUUACAGGACUCGCAAGACUCCUUCACCCUGUGAACCUCACUACAAGCACGUUGCUUCGGCGGGUGUCCCGGCGGGGGUUUUCCCUCGCCGGGGCGCACAGCCCGCCGGCAGCCUACUAUACUCUGUCUCUUUGCGUUGGCAUCUCGAGAAAAAACAAGCAAGUUAAAACUUUCAACAACGGAUCUCUUGGUUCUG
Molecule: unclassified non-coding RNA, 224 nt
Filed under: plant metagenome
Description: partial contains small subunit ribosomal RNA, internal transcribed spacer 1, and 5.8S ribosomal RNA
Source: RNAcentral